This is a non-coding RNA of Thalictrum thalictroides, 169 nucleotides long. NCBI's taxonomy places the organism in Eukaryota, Viridiplantae, Streptophyta, Magnoliopsida, Ranunculales, Ranunculaceae. The record is from the annotation of a GenBank genome assembly.
AUACCAUCUCGUCCUUUUGCCUGAGAUCAAGUGUGAUAUAUGUUCUUAUCUAUUUAAGAUCUGAGACGUAGGCCAUUUGUUCACAUGAUAUGAAAUGAGUUUUUCUCUGGGAAGGGUCCACCACAGCUUCCUGUUGGGGCUCCCAGACCUUGUCUCUAUGUCACACCCU